Larimichthys crocea (large yellow croaker) is the source of this 484-nucleotide long non-coding RNA. RefSeq lists it as uncharacterized. NCBI's taxonomy places the organism in Eukaryota, Metazoa, Chordata, Actinopteri, Sciaenidae. The record is from RefSeq and is a predicted model, not a curated record. The transcript has 4 exons.
AAUCGCUUCACCUGCACUCCUCCACACCUGAAGCUCAUCUCCUAAUCACUGCCGGCAGAUGUGAUUACAGUGCAUGAGAUCUGGCACUUGGGCACUUCCCUGCCUUCAAUCCAUUAUCCAAUCCAUUCUGACUCCGAUGAAGACAAAGUAGUGUUGAAACGUUUCUCUGUUUGUGCUACUAAAGGCUGCAAAUCAAUCAGUGUGCUCCAGUCCCCUUUCCCCCAUCUUGGCAACCCUUCCCUCACCACCACUUCUCUCCCUUCACUUCUCGCCACAGGCAGGAUCUGCUCAUGGAGAGCUGCGAGAUGCUCUGCAACAAAUGGCGAGUGAUCAGUACAGCUGCAUGCACGUGUGCCUGGAUAUAUAUUAAUUAUGUGAGUAUAGGCACGUGCUCGGUGUACUCGAGUCGCGCUAUGUGACCACCUGCAGAGGCGUUCUGCUUCCUGACAGAGCAGGACAGAAUCAACAGAAAGAGACCUGAAUA